GAGAUAGAUGAGCGCGGCCGGCCCGGCCUUGUUAACAAGCGUCCUCAUAAAGAUGCAGCUGAUAAG
Molecule: unclassified non-coding RNA, 66 nt
Organism: Vulpes vulpes (red fox)
Lineage: Eukaryota; Metazoa; Chordata; Mammalia; Carnivora; Canidae
Source: Ensembl